UUGAAACUGUUUUAAAGUGAAGCCGGGAAAAGCUCAUUACAACAGCCGUCGUUUCUUGGAACUCCGAAACUACUUGGAUAACUGUGGUAAUUCUAGAGCUAAUACAUGCAAUCGAGCUCUGACCGUAAGGAAUGAGCGCAUUUAUUAGAACUAAAACCAAUCAGUACUUGUACUGUGGUUUGGUGAAUCUGAAUAACUGAGAUAAUCGCUUCUGUCUUUGCACAGGCGAUGGUUCCUCCAAGUGUCUGCCUUAUCAACUUUCGAUGGUAGGUUAUGCGCCUACCAUGGUUGUAACGGGUAACGGAGAAUUAGGGUUCGACUCCGGAGAAGGAGCCUGAGAAACGGCUACUACUUCUAAGGAAGGCAGCAGGCGCGCAAAUUACCCACUCUCAGUGCGAGGAGGUAGUGACGAAAAAUAACAAGGCGGUUCCCUAUGGGAGCCGUCAUUGGAAUGAGAACAAUCUAAACCUUUUAACGAGGACCUAGCGGAGGGCAAGUCUGGUGCCAGCAGCCGCGGUAAUUCCAGCUCCGCCAGUGUAUAUCUAUGCUGUUGCGGUUAAAAAGCUCGUAGUUGGAUCUGCGUGCACGUUGGCGGUCGGCCUUAUGGGUCUGAACUGCACAACUGCACUUGUGUGGUAGUUCUGUCUUUGUGCUCUUAACCGGGCGCACUGAUCGGCUGCCAAGUUUACUUUGAAAAAAUUAGAGUGCUCAAAACAGGCGUUUCGUCUGUAUACUGGUGCAUGGAAUAAUGGAAUAAGACCUCGGUCUUAUUUUGUUGGUUUUAUGUUCUGAGGUAAUGAUUAAGAGGGACAAACGGGGGCAUUCGUAUUGCUGCGCUAGAGGUGAAAUUCUUGGACCGCAGCAAGACGUCCGACUGCGAAGGCAUUUGCCAAGAAUGGUUUCAUUAAUCAAGAACGAAAGUUAGAG
RNAcentral lists this ribosomal RNA (927 nucleotides) under Theristus ensifer. Its description in RNAcentral is "SSU rRNA". It matches the Rfam family "Eukaryotic small subunit ribosomal RNA", at positions 64 to 995 of the family's 1831-position model. The record is from RNAcentral. Lineage: Eukaryota; Metazoa; Nematoda; Chromadorea; Monhysterida; Xyalidae.